AUGCUUUCUCGAGCUUUUUUAAAUUUUACGCCGACAGCUGCCUGCUGGAGACUGCAAUUUUAUAUACGAUAUGUAUAAAUUAAGCCUCCUAUAUAUGGCUUUGUAACCGGUCCCCUCUGUGCUGGCAGCCUUAUUCAGCAAGAUCUGGAAACGCUCUUCUUCUACAUCUCGGAUAAUUUUUUACACUGGGCACCGUGGGCUUUCUUCAGUACAAAAUCUUCCCAACAACAUUUUCCGGGAAGUCCCUAUUCCGAACUUCCCGGAAAAUGUUCUUCCAGGAAAGUAAUGGCGAGUUUUAUAUCAAAAAAAGAAAAAUUGCACGCAGAGUGAUAGCAGAAAGAAGAAGAAAAAAUGGAAAAUAAGAGAGGAAGGUAGAAGAAAGUGAUGAGGACAAUGUGAAGGAAAUGGAAAAGUCGAAGAAACAAUACUUGAAGUAUUCUCCAACCGGCAGAUAUUUUGACGGUUACAAGUACCAGAUUAAGGACCGAAACGCCAAAGGGGUGCUACUUUUAAGAUGCCACGACCGCAAGAAUUGUGGGGGGAUGGCUUCUCUCAACGGGGAAGAUUUUGUACUGAAGAAAGCCCACGGUGCCCAGUGUAAAAAAUUAUCCGAGA
Cyphomyrmex costatus is the source of this 615-nucleotide long non-coding RNA. RefSeq lists it as uncharacterized. Lineage: Eukaryota; Metazoa; Arthropoda; Insecta; Hymenoptera; Formicidae. The record is from RefSeq and is a predicted model, not a curated record. The transcript has 3 exons.